RNAcentral lists this long non-coding RNA (626 nucleotides) under Phascolarctos cinereus (koala). RNAcentral's name for it is "lncRNA (ENSPCIG00000028722.2)". The record is from RNAcentral. Lineage: Eukaryota; Metazoa; Chordata; Mammalia; Diprotodontia; Phascolarctidae.
CUUUCCCCAUAUGCACAUACCUCUAUCUUGACCAUUCUCCCCACUCUACACCUUGGUAGUUUCUUCUUCAGAACUCAAACACAGUCAACAGAACCUGAAGCUUCCUUCUGCCCCCAUACCCCACUCCUUGAUAAGAUCCUAAUGAUGCCACAGCACAGGGAUGCUUCCUUCUGAGAAACUGGGGCUGCCUCCUUCAUGAUAGCAGCUGAGGAUUUCCUUUUACCAGAACAUCACAUCCCAAUUAUCUCCUUGAUUUCCCACAAAUAAGGAACUAUCUUGCAAGACUUAUACUGAUUUUCUAAAAUCUGGAGGAUUCUCUUCUGGUUACCUGAAAGAUUUUCAAGGAAUCAUAAGCAGAGGAACAAACACCAUCAACCAAAGAAUAAGAUUCCAGAAAAAAAACAGAAGGAAAAUGAGCAGUAAGGAGAAAAAUGGUGGGAAAGCUGGACUGACAGGACAAGACCUUGGUUUGUGUUGAGGCAGCAUGGUGGCCAGAACUCUACUCAUGGACAGUGUAAGAGAAGGGCUACUUCUUCCAAAUGAGGAUCCGGGUCAGUGACUCCCAGGUGAGAGAAGAGGUUGGUGGUAUAUAUAUAUAUAUAUGUGUGUGUGUGUGUGUGUGUGUG